RNAcentral lists this transfer RNA (117 nucleotides) under Nanobdellota archaeon. RNAcentral's name for it is "tRNA-Tyr". The record is from RNAcentral. Lineage: Archaea; Nanobdellati; Nanobdellota.
CCCCGCUUAGUUUAGUGGCUAGAACCCUCGGCUGUAGACCGAGUGAUCCCCGGUUCGAGCAAUAAACUGUGUUUAUGUACCAAAAAAUGCAGUUUUUCGAGUGUCCGGGAGCGGGGA